ACUCCUACGGGAGGCAGCAGUGAGGAAUAUUGAUCAAUGGGCGCAAGCCUGAACCAGCCAUGCCGCGUGAAGGAAGAAGGUUCUAUGGAUUGUAAACUUCUUUUAUUUAGGAAUAAACCCCUGGUCGAGCAUCAGGGCUGAAGGUACUAAAUGAAUAAGCACCGGCUAACUCCGUGCCAGCAGCCGCGGUAAUAC
This 195-nucleotide ribosomal RNA is filed under the name uncultured bacterium. Its description in RNAcentral is "partial 16S ribosomal RNA". It matches the Rfam family "Bacterial small subunit ribosomal RNA", at positions 335 to 526 of the family's 1533-position model. The record is from RNAcentral.